Molecule: non-coding RNA, 94 nt
Organism: Paramarasmius palmivorus
Lineage: Eukaryota; Fungi; Basidiomycota; Agaricomycetes; Agaricales; Marasmiaceae
Source: the annotation of a GenBank genome assembly
UCCCUGGUAGUAUAUCGGUUAGUACACGCGCCUGUCAUAGGGACCUGUCGAGUACGGCCGCGCGAAAGCUGGGUUCGACUCCCAGCCAGGAGAU